UAGUUUACUAAUUCUGGUGCUUUUGUUUACUCCUGCAUUUCAUAUUUUCUUUAGGACAGGAACCCUUAGAUUUUUUCUUGUUUAAUCAACUUAAGCUUUACCAUCCGUACGGAGAAGGGAAGCAAUAAAUAUUUUGAUUUUCUUGGUGGCAGCUUCUUUUCUCCUGUACUUGCAGUGAAGGCUUAGUUUUCCUCUGCUGAGUUCUGUUUCGAAGUUUCCUUUCGUUUUGGUGAGUGCCUUUUUGAGAAUGUUUACUGAUUUUGGAUAUUGUUACUAGACUGAGUUUUUUCAUGAAGCACAUUAUUUUGUUUUCCCAGCUCUAAAACCUAUAUUUUUCCUCUGCUUCCAUGUGAAAAAUUCAGUUGUUCCUUGAACAGCUGAACAUCAUUCUUCAGAGAAAGGAAGAUUCCGUAAGGUGUAUACAUCUUGAUUCUUUGCCUUGAUAUUAUUCCUGUAUUUGAGUCCAGCAUGCAUUCAUAAUCGUCAGCAACUGGUCAUCAUGUGGCUUGAAUUGAAUCCAAACUUUUCUGUUCCCUGCAUAAAUUGAAAACUAAACGAGUCUCAGUUGACAAGGUUCUUUCUCUGUGUCAGUCUGGAUGAGUUAAUAAUGAGGAGUCGAGAUCAGUCAAUAUCCGACUAUGUUGUAAUGUUUUUCAGAUUUGUAACCUCUGGUGAAAUACGAAAGCGUUCCAAGUUCUUCAGACCCUUUAUUUUGGGAUUAACAAAUGCAACAGUGGAACAGGUUUGUUUUAUUUAAAUUUUUUGUAUGCUCACUAGCACUUGACAUCCUUUCAUGCAUUAUCAGGAAUUGUUCUUUUUUUUGAAUUCUUUCCCCUUUAAAACAACAGUGCAAAUAAGAGUUGUAACAUAUCCUUUUGAUUAGUAGGAAACGAUCUCAAUUUUCUUUUA
Molecule: long non-coding RNA, 909 nt
Organism: Gossypium raimondii (Peruvian cotton)
Lineage: Eukaryota; Viridiplantae; Streptophyta; Magnoliopsida; Malvales; Malvaceae
Exons: 2
Source: RefSeq, a predicted model, not a curated record